AGCUCCAAUAGCGUAUAUUAAAGUUGCUGCAGUUAAAAAGCUCGUAGUUGCAUUUCCGAGGCAAGGGAUUAGUCCGACCUUUGGUGGGAAUUUAAUCCUCUUGCCUCGUCCUUGAGUGGUGCUUCUUGGUAUUAAGUUAUCGAGGAGAUAGCCGCUCAUCGUUUACUGUGAGAAAAUUAGAGUGUUCAAAGCAGGCUUAUGCCGUUGAAUAUAUUAGCAUGGAAUAAUAAGAUAGGACCUCGGUACUAUUUUGUUUGUUUGAGAACCAAGGUAAUGAUGAAUAGGGACAGUUGGGGGUAUUCGUAUUCAGUUGUCAGAGGUGAAAUUCUUAGAUUUACGGAAGACGAACUACUGCGAAAGCAUUUACCAAGGAUGUUUUCA
Molecule: ribosomal RNA, 381 nt
Filed under: uncultured marine Chaetocerotaceae
Lineage: Eukaryota; Bacillariophyta; Thalassiosirophyceae; Chaetocerotales; Chaetocerotaceae
Description: SSU rRNA
Rfam family: Eukaryotic small subunit ribosomal RNA
Source: RNAcentral